AUACAGUGGCGUGUAGACAUCCUAUUUUUAGUUCUUAUUGAUCCAGUAAGGUGAUAGUAUUAUCAUCUCCAUUUUGCAGAUGAGGGAUCUGAAGUUUAGGGAGGUUAUGUAACUUGCCCAAGGUUACAGAGCCACUAUGUGGGGGAACUUAGUCCAGACAGCUCAACUCCAGAGCAUGCUCUCUUAGUCACCAAACGGCAGAGGGUGGGAAGGAGUUUGCAGUUGUUGUCAAACACAGUCAGCUUCUUAGAGAGGGGAAAGGAGCUAUGAAUAUAUGUAGUGCAGGGAUUGGAGUGCUUUCCCUUCUCCUUCCCUACCAGUUAAUCCGUAAAUAUGUUAGCAGAACACAGCCAAUCUUUAUGGUCACCUGGACACAGUGGUCCUGAGUGGACUCUGGGGAAGAAGCAUCAGAGACAAGAGAAAGAAUCAGGAGGCCCCAUGGUUAACCAGGAAGUAUAUGCUUUGAUGGUGGUAAACCCUGAGUGGCUCCUACAACAGGAUUGA
Molecule: long non-coding RNA, 504 nt
Filed under: Felis catus (domestic cat)
Lineage: Eukaryota; Metazoa; Chordata; Mammalia; Carnivora; Felidae
Description: lncRNA (ENSFCAG00000046312.2)
Source: RNAcentral